This is a long non-coding RNA of Pezoporus occidentalis (night parrot), 3142 nucleotides long. RefSeq lists it as uncharacterized. NCBI's taxonomy places the organism in Eukaryota, Metazoa, Chordata, Aves, Psittaciformes, Psittacidae. The transcript is spliced from 6 exons. The record is from RefSeq and is a predicted model, not a curated record.
GUUUGUGGUACAUGACCAUGAAGCAGGAGCAGCAGGGCUGGGGUUGCUGGUAGCAUCUCACAAGCAGCUGAAAAUUCCUUCCUUUGAUCUUCUUUCUGACUCUUAAUGAAGUUGUGGGAUCUGGCUUCCCGCAUCGCGCCUGUUGUUCCCGCUCCGCUUCGCUGCCUGACGGUGAUGGAGCGGGGAGAAGGUUCAGUCCAGUUACUGCUUGCUGUAUGGAUGUAAAGCUCCCUCCAGAGGGUCACUCCACGCCACAAACUCUGUGGGCUCCCUUGAGGAAAGUGAUGUGCUGUUCCCUGGGAAACACCCACCUAAAGAAGGGGGCUAUGGUUGAUUCUUCAGGAGUUUUAGCUUUGAAAGCUGGCAAAGAGAUUUGUCUGUCUGGUGAUUACAUUUAACAGGCUUCUGUCCGAGCGCAGGAAAAUCACUGAGGAAUGCUAAGGAAAAGGCUGAUUUCCGGACUAGCUGAAAGCGUGCAGCAUCUUCCAGGAUCAGACCCGGACACUUUUGUCUGGAGAGCUGAUAUUUCUGUAGCUCUUCCCGUUCUCCAAGCCCUCUGUAGGUGUGAAGUAUUUCGUUUGCAUCCAGCAAAUGGAACAAUAAGGGAGGACUUCAUUUUCCCAUCUGUCAACUAGUCCUGAACAAACUGUACGCCGCUCUCUUUGCAGAGAGAUCUUUUAGCUAAAUUAAAAGCUUUGGUGUUCACUUGCAUGUAACAGAGGAAUUCUGUCAUCACAUUUCUGAUUGAGGUUUUGGUUUAAAUGCUCUGCAAAUCCCUGAAGAUCUGUUUGUGUAACUGGGAGACGGUGGCUCUAUCUUGGGUAACCCAAAGUAACGCGCAUCACAGUGUUGAAGCCAGGUUUUGGAGGGAGCUGGAGCUGUGUGUUCAGGUCGAUUAGUGGUAUUGGGAAGGGUAAAUUCCCACCCAGGGCUUUGGAGAGAUUGCCCUGCUGAUGCAAACCUCUGUUCUGCCCUUCUGAGGAUGGCUGAGCACAGGCUGGUCUUUGUUGCUUCCCAGCCUGUCAGACAGCCAUGGUAUAAUGCUGUUUGUCUUGGGCUUGACCCCCUGAGGCUGUACUCCAGCAAACAAAGUGCCUUGGGUUGGUUUCAGUACGUGCUGAUGCUUCGUUUAAGAACAUGUUGGUGGGCUCUUGCACUUGCAGGACUUGUUGGUGUUGGCUGUGCAGGUGAUGGCAGUUCUAGGCCACAUAGUGCUGCUCUUUUUCCUCCUCAAACCUGGGUCUGGAGCAGCUAUAAACAUCAGUGGUGCUUUGGGGUGUGCAGGUUUCCCCCUUCCCUUAUGCAUAGACAAGCCUUGUGCUCAUCUCCCCAUAGGUGUUGUCUGUCCUCCCCCUUGCCACCACCCCAGCAUGACCCAGCUGGCAGGCUCAGAUAAGGGUUGAAUGGGGAGAUAAGAAGCUCUUUUCCUUCUCCUCCCUCAUCUGGAGCACCAGCAAAUGGUGGAAUCCCACAAGCUCUGUUAAACACAUGGGAAAGGGGCUGCCAAAUGAAAUGGGUCACACAUAGACACAGGCACCAGUCUCUGAAAGACAGGUUCAUCAAAUACAGAUCUUUGAGAGAAGUGAAAUGAGGAAAAAUAAAAUCAGGGCCAGGUUCCCCCUUCUCCUCAGCAUCCCCCAUUGUGUCUCUUAAGAAGCCACCCUUGAAGCUCCAGGUUUUACCUUGAGCAAACCCAUGUUAUGUGAUGUGGCAAAGACACACCCUGAAAGAGACAGGUAGGAAUUUGGCUUUGGAGCUAUUUCCACUGGAAAACAAAAGGGUUUCUAUGAUGGUCCAGAGCAAGUGCCAGUUAAAGGGUAUGAACUCUUUUUGUACUGUGGUAAAUGCAGACUAUUACUAGGAAGGUUCAUACAAGCCGUCAGUCGCUUUUUCUACCCUUCUUCAUUAGGCAGGCUGAGUGCAAUGUGAUGUAGUCCAGCAAUCUGAGAAAACAGGGCAAAUAAGUAACUCUUGUUUGUCUGUUUCUCCCUUGGUAAUGCACUUUUAGAGUGACAUCCACGGGUGCAGCAACGCGUCCGUUAUGGGACCUAAAAUAACAGAGCAGAAGGAAACUGUGGCAGGGCUCUGGCAGGAAUCCUCCGGGCUUUAUGGCUAGUGUGAUUGCUGCUGCAACAUGUGCUGCCUUACAAAGGAGGCGUGAUAGCUUCAUCACACCACUGAUCCUGAACUAGAAGAGGACAUAAAGAGGCAGCUAUUGACUGGCUCGGGUCUUCCCUGCUCUGAGCCUUGGCGUCAGAAGCUGCUGCCGCUGCGAUUUCAGCAUCGGUAUCCAUAGCACGAGCCCUGGAGCAGAUUGGGUUCAAGAGUUUUUGCUGGGUUGUGCUGGAGCGGGGAUAAAUUAUGAUGUCAAAACAGAGAGAUGUUGUCACACAACCAUCUCCCCUUGCAGGGUCAAGGUUCUGCUUUAUAGCUUGGAAACCCAUUAGUCCAUUUGAAAGCAUAUGGCCAAGAAUGGACAAAAAAUAGUCUUGUGUGUUUGGGUCAGAGCUACAGACAAAAGGCUCUUUGUGCUAAGAGCUGACAAUGACAAAUAAAGAGGAACCUGUUGAUCUAGGAGAGAAAUGGAGGAUUAUGAAAAGAUCACAUGGAUUUCAGGUGAUUAACUCCCCCUCUCUAAAGUUUAACACCACAUGCAGCCAAGAUGCCGUCAAUCUUCCUUUUCUAAGUAAAAGAAAAAAGUACUGUAGUUUUAGCUCGGGAAUGGAGGUGACUGACAACAAGAAGACUGUUUUGGAGGUGCUCUUACCUGCUCUGGUUACACCCCAGUUGCAUUACUUGAUGAGCAUGUCCUUUUGAAACGAAGACAGAAUCAUGACAGACCUGAGUGGUGCCAUCAGUGACAGAGCUGCAGCAGAGCUGGAGCAACUGAAAGCCCCUUUGAAAAUGACUGUGUGUUGACAAAGUCUUUUCUUGGCAAAGAAACCAUCAUCUAAGCCUCCGGAGUAGAGAGGAACAAAAUUUCAUUACAUGUAAAUAAUUGUCUAAAAAUAGAAGCACAGAUUGCUUUUCACAUUAAGUUCCUUCUUCACGGUAAAGUAUAUACUGCAUUAAAAAAGAAGUGACUAGCAGCAGUCCAAGCUGAAAAAUAAAGGGCCUGUUGUUAGCUUUAUUUGUAAAAACA